Molecule: non-coding RNA, 801 nt
Organism: Salvia hispanica
Lineage: Eukaryota; Viridiplantae; Streptophyta; Magnoliopsida; Lamiales; Lamiaceae
Source: RefSeq, a predicted model, not a curated record
CUUUGACCGAAGAACCCUAGUAGAUCCGGGAGAAACGGGCUCCGGGAAGACGACGCGGAUACCGCAAUUUCUUAACGAGGCGGGACACACGCACGAAGAAUGAUCGGAUGCGCGCAGUUGCGGCGAUUGGCGGCCAUGAGCGUCGCCGCUCGAGUUGCUCGAGAGAAGGGGGUGAAGCUAGGGCACGAAGUCGGCUACUCGAUUCGAUUCGAAGACCGCACAUUACUUGGUUGAAGCUUGGUGAAGGUUUGGGUUAUGGCGACGACGAGUUAUCAGACUUAUGUCAAGUGCCAGAUGAAGCAGCCGCAGCUGGACGCGCUCCGUCCCCUCUGGCGGGCUCGGGCUCGGGCUCAACCUUACGAGUGUGCAGUGGAGUGGGGGUGAUUCGAGGGUUGCAUUCUCGGAGAAUUCGUCACCAGUUUCGGAGAGGAAAGUGAUGUUAAUGAAGGAGGAAGGUGGAGAGGAUGUUCUGACGUGUUGUCAGGCAAUUCAUCAGAUAUCGUUUUUGGAUACAGAGCAUUUGCCUUCUUGGCUCAAGCCACAUGCUAAUAAGGAGGAUUUGGAUCAGUUGAGGAGGAAGUACAAUAGGCAGCGCCAGAAUCUGCAUCACAGCCAUCUUGUGGGAAGGAAUAGCCAUCACUAGCCAUUACUUGGUUGUUUUUGUUACUACUGCUCUUCAAAUUUAUGCAACGGAGGAGAUUGAGGCGGCAAAGACGAUUGUUAGAGAAAAGAUUAGAAAUUUAAGAGCAAAAGAUUAGAGAUUGAGGCUACGGAUGUUAUUUUUAUUUCAUUGUGUUUUAA